GACGAACGCUGGCGGCGUGCCUAAUACAUGCAAGUAGAACGCAGUUUCGAACUGGUGAGUGACGCGUUGGUAACUGCCUCACACCGGGGGAUAACUGUUUGAAACGAUAACUAAAACCCCAUUCUUUGAUAUCUACCUGCGUUGUAUUAGCUGGUUGGUGUGGUAAAGGCGUUACUAGGCUACGAUACAUAGCCGACCUGAGAGGGUGAUCGGCCACACUUGGACUGAGACACGGCCCAGACUCCUACGGGAGGCAGCAGUAGGGAAUCUUCGGCAAUGGGGGGAAGUCUGACCGAGCAACGCCGCGUGAGUGAAGAAGGUUUUCGGAUCGGAAAGCUCUUUUGUUAGAGAAGCGGUAACUAACCAGAAAGGGACGGCUAACUACGUGCCAGCAGCCGCGGUAAUAC
RNAcentral lists this ribosomal RNA (407 nucleotides) under uncultured bacterium. RNAcentral's name for it is "partial 16S ribosomal RNA". It matches the Rfam family "Bacterial small subunit ribosomal RNA", at positions 28 to 526 of the family's 1533-position model. The record is from RNAcentral.